GACGAACGCUGGCGGCGUGCUUAACACAUGCAAGUCGAACGGAAAGGCCCUGCUUUUGUGGGGUGCUCGAGUGGCGAACGGGUGAGUAACACGUGAGUAACCUGCCCUUGACUUUGGGAUAACUUCAGGAAACUGGGGCUAAUACCGGAUAGGAGCUCCUGCUGCAUGGUGGGGGUUGGAAAGUUUCGGCGGUUGGGGAUGGACUCGCGGCUUAUCAGCUUGUUGGUGGGGUAGUGGCUUACCAAGGCUUUGACGGGUAGCCGGCCUGAGAGGGUGACCGGCCACAUUGGGACUGAGAGACGGCCCAGACUCCUACGGGAGGCAGCAGUGGGGAAUAUUGCGCAAUGGGCGGAAGCCUGAUGCAGCAGCGCCGCGUGCGGGAUGACGGCCUUCGGGUUGUAAACCGCUUUCGCCUGUGACGAAGCGUGAGUGACGGUAAUGGGUAAAGAAGCACCGGCUAACUACGUG
RNAcentral lists this ribosomal RNA (468 nucleotides) under uncultured bacterium. RNAcentral describes it as "partial 16S ribosomal RNA". It matches the Rfam family "Bacterial small subunit ribosomal RNA", at positions 28 to 507 of the family's 1533-position model. The record is from RNAcentral.